This 275-nucleotide ribosomal RNA is filed under the name uncultured bacterium. Its description in RNAcentral is "partial 16S ribosomal RNA". It matches the Rfam family "Bacterial small subunit ribosomal RNA", at positions 338 to 630 of the family's 1533-position model. The record is from RNAcentral.
CCUACGGGGGGCUGCAGUGAGGAAUAUUGGUCAAUGGGGGCAACCCUGAACCAGCGACGCCGCGUGGGUGAUGAAGGCCUUCGGGUCGUAAAACCCUUUUACCCCUGACGAGAACGGACGGUAGGGGGUGAAUAAGCCUCGGCUAACUACGUGCCAGCAGCCGCGGUAAAACGUAGGAGGCGAGCGUUAUCCGGAGUUACUGGGCGUAAAGCGUGUGUAGGUGGUCGUACAAGUUGCGUGUAAAAGCACCAGGCUAAACUUGGUGAGGCAGGCAA